Molecule: ribosomal RNA, 434 nt
Filed under: uncultured Coprococcus sp.
Lineage: Bacteria; Bacillati; Bacillota; Clostridia; Lachnospirales; Lachnospiraceae
Description: partial 16S ribosomal RNA
Rfam family: Bacterial small subunit ribosomal RNA
Source: RNAcentral
ACGGGAGGCAGCAGUGGGGGAUAUUGCACAAUGGGGGAAACCCUGAUGCAGCGACGCCGCGUGAGUGAUGAAGUAUUUCGGUAUGUAAAGCUCUAUCAGCAGGAAAGAUAAUGACGGUACCUGACUAAGAAGCACCGGCUAAAUACGUGCCAGCAGCCGCGGUAAUACGGAGGAUGCAAGCGUUAUCCGGAUUUAUUGGGUUUAAAGGGUGCGUAGGCGGUCUGACAAGUCAGCGGUGAAAUGUCCACGCUCAACGUGGAAAGUGCCGUUGAAACUGCCGGACUAGAAUUCGGAUGCCGUGGGAGGAAUGUGUAGUGUAGCGGUGAAAUGCUUAGAUAUUACACAGAACACCGAUUGCGAAGGCAUCUCACGAAUCCGAUAUUGACGCUGAGGCACGAAAGUGCGGGGAUCAAACAGGAUUAGAUACCCUGGUA